GACGAACGCUGGCGGCGUGCUUAACACAUGCAAGUCGAACGGAAAGGCCCUGCUUUUGUUGGGUGCUCGAUUGGCGAACGGGUGAGUAACACGUGAGUAACCUGCCCUUGACUGUGGGAUAACUUCAGGAAACUGGGGCUAAUACCGGAUAGGAUCUCCUGCUGCAUGGUGGGGGUUGGAAAGUUUCGGCGGUUGUGGAUGUACUCGCGGCUUAUCAGCUGGUUGGUGGGGUAGUGGCUUACCAAGGCUUUGACGGGUAGCCGGCCUGAGAGGGUGACCGGCGACCUUGGGACUGCGAUACGGCCCAGACGCCUACGGGCGGCAGCAGUCGGGAAUAUUGCGGAAUGGGCGGACGCCUGAUGCAGAAACGUCGCGUGCGGGAUGACGGCUUUCGGGUUGUAAACAGCUUUCGCAUGUGACGAAGAGUGAGUGACGGUAAUGGGUAAAGAAGCAACGGCUAACUACGUG
RNAcentral lists this ribosomal RNA (468 nucleotides) under uncultured bacterium. RNAcentral describes it as "partial 16S ribosomal RNA". It matches the Rfam family "Bacterial small subunit ribosomal RNA", at positions 28 to 507 of the family's 1533-position model. The record is from RNAcentral.